Molecule: ribosomal RNA, 253 nt
Filed under: uncultured bacterium
Lineage: Bacteria
Description: partial 16S ribosomal RNA
Rfam family: Bacterial small subunit ribosomal RNA
Source: RNAcentral
UACGUAGGGUGCGAGCGUUGUCCGGAAUUAUUGGGCGUAAAGCGCUCGUAGGCGGUCUGUCGCGUCGGCUGUGAAAUCCCGAGGCUCAACCUCGGGUCUGCAGUCGAUACGGGCAAACUGGAGUGUUGCAGGGGAGACUGGAAUUCCUGGUGUAGCGGUGAAAUGCGCAGAUAUCAGGAGGAACACCGGUGGCGAAGGCGGGUCUCUGGGCAACAACUGACGCUGAGGAGCGAAAGCGUGGGGAGCGAACAGG